This 107-nucleotide small nuclear RNA is filed under the name Aotus nancymaae (Ma's night monkey). Lineage: Eukaryota; Metazoa; Chordata; Mammalia; Primates; Aotidae. The record is from RNAcentral.
AUGCUUGCUUCGGCAGCAUGUAUACUAAAAUUGGAAUGAUACAGAGAAGAUUAGCAUGGCCCCUGCGCAAAGAUGACAUGCAAAUUCAUGAAGCAUUCCAUUAAAAA